Molecule: ribosomal RNA, 350 nt
Filed under: uncultured diatom
Lineage: Eukaryota; Bacillariophyta
Description: SSU rRNA
Rfam family: Bacterial small subunit ribosomal RNA
Source: RNAcentral
GACGGAGGAUGCAAGUGUUAUCCGGAAUCACUGGGCGUAAAGCGUCUGUAGGUGGUUUGAUAAGUCAACUGUUAAAUCUUGGGGCUUAACCUCAAAAUCGCAGUCGAAACUAUUAGACUAGAGUAUAGUAGGGGUAAAGGGAAUUUCCAGUGGAGCGGUGAAAUGCGUAGAGAUUGGAAAGAACACCGAUGGCGAAGGCACUUUACUGGGCUAUUACUGACACUCAGAGACGAAAGCUAGGGUAGCAAAUGGGAUUAGAUACCCCAGUAGUCCUAGCCGUAAACAAUGGAUACUAGAUGUUGAACAGAUCGACCUGUGCAGUAUUAAAGCUAACGCGUUAAGUAUCCCGC